Molecule: ribosomal RNA, 156 nt
Organism: Cavia aperea (Brazilian guinea pig)
Lineage: Eukaryota; Metazoa; Chordata; Mammalia; Rodentia; Caviidae
Rfam family: 5.8S ribosomal RNA
About the family: 5.8S ribosomal RNA (5.8S rRNA) is a component of the large subunit of the eukaryotic ribosome. It is transcribed by RNA polymerase I as part of the 45S precursor that also contains 18S and 28S rRNA. Functionally, it is thought that 5.8S rRNA may be involved in ribosome translocation.
Source: Ensembl
AACACUUAGAGGUGAAUCACUCAGCUCUUGUGUCAAUGAAGGACGCAGCUAGCUGUGAGAAUGAAUGUGAUUUGCAGGAGGACACAUUGAUCACUGACACUUCGAAUGCACUUGUGGCUGAGAGUUCUUCCCAUGGCUACACCUGUCUGAGCAUCC